RNAcentral lists this ribosomal RNA (460 nucleotides) under uncultured bacterium. RNAcentral describes it as "partial 16S ribosomal RNA". It matches the Rfam family "Bacterial small subunit ribosomal RNA", at positions 338 to 795 of the family's 1533-position model. The record is from RNAcentral.
CCUACGGGAGGCUGCAGUGAGGAAUAUUGGUCAAUGGCCGGAAGGCUGAACCAGCCAUGCCGCGUGAAGGUCAGUGCCCUAUGGGCGUUAAACUUCUUUUGUGCGGGAGCAAUAAUGGUCACGUGUGGCCAGACGAGAGUACCGUACGAAUAAGCAUCGGCUAACACCGUGCCAGCAGCCGCGGUAAUACGGGGGAUGCAAGCGUUAUCCGGAUUUAUUGGGUUUAAAGGGUGCGUAGGCUGUGAGGUAAGUCAGCGGUGAAAUGCCCCCGCUCAACGGGGUGAAGUGCCAUUGAUACUGCCUGGCUGGAAUGCGGAUGCGGUGGGAGGAAUGUGUGGUGUAGCGGUGAAAUGCAGAGAUAUCACACAGAACACCGAUUGCGAAGGCAUCUCACGAAUCCGCGAUUGACGCUGAUGCACGAAAGCGUGGGUAUCAAACAGGAUUAGAUACCCCUGUAGUU